GCCUGGGUGGCUCAGUGGUUGAGCAUCUGCCUUCAGCGCAGAGCAUCAUCCUGGGGUCCUGGGAUCGAGUCCCACAUCAGGCU
This is a non-coding RNA of Canis lupus familiaris (dog), 83 nucleotides long. The record is from Rfam. Lineage: Eukaryota; Metazoa; Chordata; Mammalia; Carnivora; Canidae.